AAUCCAGAAAUAACAAACCUGUUGCAAGUCCGUUUAAAUUUUGAAUAAAAUAAAUAAUCUACUUGACGUACGGAGCUUCAAUAAUGGCUAUAUUGAAGUUUAUGGGUUUUGACUAGAUGGUGUUCAGAACUGUGGGACCAGUCAAUUGCUGUUGAAUAGUGACUGGGCUGAAGGCCCAUGUUCUGCUGGCCCAUUUCAUCUUGUAGCUGUCCUGCCCUAGAAGAGGCAGACGAGAGCCUCCUGAGGAGAGGAGCCGCCAGAGAGAGAACCAAGAAGAGAAGGACUGCUGUUGCUGCUGUUGCAGGAUCUAAUACAGAUGCCAUCAGAUCAACUUGAGGAGGGAGAUCCGCCGAAGCACUAAGCGUGGGGCUUGCGAACUUGCUGGCUGCCAAUGAAUGUAUAAUAUAUGUUAAGAUGGUUUAAAAACUUCGCAACGUAUAUGAAAUUUAUGUUUUAUAUGGUUAAAGACAUCCAUAUAUGCUGCCCCAAUAAUUUACUUUGCAUGUAUGCUGGUAGGUCCAUCCUGGUGUUUGAAAAUUUCAAUAGCAUGGUGAGGUGUUGAAGCUCAACACCUGAGUUAGCAGGUUGCCUAUUUAAUGCCUGUUUGUGAAGUGAGAUUUAUUACCAUGAAAGUUACAUGGUAUCUCAUACA
Molecule: long non-coding RNA, 652 nt
Organism: Brachypodium distachyon (stiff brome)
Lineage: Eukaryota; Viridiplantae; Streptophyta; Magnoliopsida; Poales; Poaceae
Exons: 2
Source: RefSeq, a predicted model, not a curated record